Molecule: ribosomal RNA, 553 nt
Filed under: uncultured bacterium
Lineage: Bacteria
Description: partial 16S ribosomal RNA
Rfam family: Bacterial small subunit ribosomal RNA
Source: RNAcentral
GGGAAUCUUCCACAAUGGACGCAAGUCUGAUGGAGCAACGCCGCGUGAGUGAAGAAGGCUUUCGGGUCGUAAAACUCUGUUGUUGGAGAAGAAUGGUCGGCAGAGUAACUGUUGCCGGCGUGACGGUAUCCAACCAGAAAGCCACGGCUAACUACGUGCCAGCAGCCGCGGUAAUACGUAGGUGGCAAGCGUUAUCCGGAUUUAUUGGGCGUAAAGCGAGCGCAGGCGGUUUUUUAAGUCUGAUGUGAAAGCCCUCGGCUUAACCGAGGAAGCGCAUCGGAAACUGGGAAACUUGAGUGCAGAAGAGGACAGUGGAACUCCAUGUGUAGCGGUGAAAUGCGUAGAUAUAUGGAAGAACACCAGUGGCGAAGGCGGCUGUCUGGUCUGUAACUGACGCUGAGGCUCGAAAGCAUGGGUAGCGAACAGGAUUAGAUACCCUGGUAGUCCAUGCCGUAAACGAUGAAUGCUAGGUGUUGGAGGGUUUCCGCCCUUCAGUGCCGCAGCUAACGCAUUAAGCAUUCCGCCUGGGGGAGUACGACCGCAAGGUUGAAAC